UGGGGAAUUUUCCGCAAUGGGCGAAAGCCUGGCGGAGCAAUACCGCGUGAGGGAUGACGGCCUAUGGGUUGUAAACCUCUUUUUUCAGGGAGGAAUCAAUGACGUGUACCUGAAGAAUAAGCAUCGGCUAACU
RNAcentral lists this ribosomal RNA (133 nucleotides) under uncultured bacterium. Its description in RNAcentral is "partial 16S ribosomal RNA". It matches the Rfam family "Bacterial small subunit ribosomal RNA", at positions 355 to 502 of the family's 1533-position model. The record is from RNAcentral.